Molecule: ribosomal RNA, 207 nt
Filed under: Escherichia coli
Lineage: Bacteria; Pseudomonadati; Pseudomonadota; Gammaproteobacteria; Enterobacterales; Enterobacteriaceae
Description: partial 16S ribosomal RNA
Rfam family: Bacterial small subunit ribosomal RNA
Source: RNAcentral
AAAUUGAAGAGUUUGAUCAUGGCUCAGAUUGAACGCUGGCGGCAGGCCUAACACAUGCAAGUCGAACGGUAACAGGAAACAGCUUGCUGUUUCGCUGAUGAGUGGCGGACGGGUGAGUAAUGUCUGGGAAACUGCCUGAUGGAGGGGGAUAACUACUGGAAACGGUAGCUAAUACCGCAUAACGUCGCAAGACCAAAGAGGGGGACC